UCUCUGGUGGUUUAGUGGUUAGGAUUUGGUGCUUUCAGUGCCAUGGCCUGGGUUUGAUUCCCAGUCAGGGAA
Molecule: transfer RNA, 72 nt
Filed under: Gallus gallus (chicken)
Lineage: Eukaryota; Metazoa; Chordata; Aves; Galliformes; Phasianidae
Description: tRNA-Glu (TTC) (tRNA-Glu-TTC-7-1)
Rfam family: tRNA
About the family: Transfer RNA (tRNA) molecules are approximately 80 nucleotides in length. Their secondary structure includes four short double-helical elements and three loops (D, anti-codon, and T loops).
Source: Rfam by way of RNAcentral